This is a long non-coding RNA of Cercocebus atys (sooty mangabey), 1446 nucleotides long. RefSeq lists it as uncharacterized. NCBI's taxonomy places the organism in Eukaryota, Metazoa, Chordata, Mammalia, Primates, Cercopithecidae. The transcript has 2 exons. The record is from RefSeq and is a predicted model, not a curated record.
UUGGUGCCGGGGGCAGGAGGCUUGUGCUGAGUUGCAUUCGUUACAUGCCUGAGUGAGCAGAUCCUUGCUCAGUUCUCAGGCCCCCGGAAAGAGGGGGCACAGGAUGACAUGUGGGAACAUCUUCUUGAGUCAGGCAGCAGCUGGAGCGGAGGCACAGUUAACAGGGUCAAAGGUCCUUGCUCGCCUGGUCAUUUAGCAACAUGGGCGCCUCUGGGCCCCUUCCCACGGACUCAGAGACACAGACACAGGUCCCUGGAGAGCUGAGGAAGGGCCAGGUGCUGCGGCAGCCUGGGUGGGAGUGACAGAAGUGACUGGCUGCUGGGGUAGGGGGUAUCACAGAUACUGGCCUGCCCAGGGGGGCUGGAGGAGGGGUGGAGGCCUCUUCAGAGUUUUGCAGGCCUUGAUGGCACAGGCUUGCUCUCAGUCUCAUUCCAAUCCUGCCUGCUGUGAGACCUGGUCAGAGGAGCCGUGCAGGCAGAGUCCACUCAGGACUGUGCUCCUAGACCCUCGGAGCUCCUGCGAGUCACUCCUCUGCCUCCCUCCCUUCGGGCAGCCCCAGCACUUCAGUGUACACAGAGCUCACUCAAGCACUACCUCAUUUGAUUCUUCAAGUCUCCAGCCCUUCAUCCACAUGGCCCAAGUGAUCUUUCCAAAAUGCAGAUCUGGCCAGGCCACUGCUCAGACGCCUUCUGUGGAUCCUGGAAUUAGCCUAGAGUUCAAGGCCCUUGGCAAUGUGGCCCUUGCCUCCCUCCUCUGGCCCAUCUCUCUGACCUCCAUGCCUAUGCAUGUACCAUUCCUUCUGCCUGAAACUCCCUCCUUCUCACAGAGGGAAAACUCUCCUUCAGCCUUCCAGACCCAGCCCAAGUAGCCCGCUGUGCGAUGCUGUCCGUGAACUGCCUGGCCCAGCAAUCAGCACUCUCUAGGCCCCCACAGGCCUUGGCAGCACUGUCACUGCUGCACUGAUCACACAGAACUGCUGUCAUCUGUGUUGACCUUACUGCAGUUUAUGCACUCAGAGGCCCACAUGAAGCAGGCAUCAGUGGAUCUUUAGUGGGUGAAGGGUGGAAUACACAAAUCUUCCUGAGCAUUGAUUUCCUCAUCUGCAAAAUUGGGAUAAUGACAAUCCCUACCCAGUCUUCCUCACUGGAUAUCCGGAGCAUGACUUAAGAUGAUUCAUGGGAAGCAUUUUGUAGGUGUUAAUCUACUCCUCCCACAGUUAUUCCUUCCUCAACCCCAAGUGGGAAGCCAGCCCUGGAUGCUGUCCAGGGUGCUGAAAGGGACGUGUCUUCUCCCAAAGGAUGAGGAGACAAGACUGAGAGGCCCACACAAGCUCAGCUGCAGCCUUUCCUUGCUUUCCUGACUGGCAGGGUCAAGGGUGAGCAGACUGUCCCUACCUUCAUGAGAAAAGACCCUGCGACAUGUCCAAUAAAAAUACAAUGUAAACGA